UUUGCCCCGGAGGCGUUGCAGAUGUGUCUGCUGGUUCCUAUGCACUUCGGUAGGUGGCAGAGAGGACAGGCUGUAUCUACACUCAGGGUUCUGACCUGUGAACUACGACUGAUUUGUAGCCUAACAUU
Psammomys obesus (fat sand rat) is the source of this 128-nucleotide small nucleolar RNA. RefSeq annotates it as small nucleolar RNA SNORA17. The transcript has a single exon. NCBI's taxonomy places the organism in Eukaryota, Metazoa, Chordata, Mammalia, Rodentia, Muridae. The record is from RefSeq and is a predicted model, not a curated record.